RNAcentral lists this ribosomal RNA (309 nucleotides) under uncultured Latescibacterota bacterium. RNAcentral's name for it is "bacterial SSU rRNA". It matches the Rfam family "Bacterial small subunit ribosomal RNA", at positions 1075 to 1382 of the family's 1533-position model. Lineage: Bacteria; Pseudomonadati; Candidatus Latescibacterota. The record is from RNAcentral.
UUGGGUUAAGUCCCGCAACGAGCGCAACCCUUAUCCCCUAGUUGCCAUCAGGUAAAGCUGGGAACUCUGGGGAGACUGCCGGUGAUAAACCGGAGGAAGGCGGGGAUGACGUCAAGUCCUCAUGGCCCUUACAUCCCGGGCUACACACGUGCUACAAUGGCAGGUACAGAGGGCUGCGAAGCCGCGAGGUGGAGCGAAUCCCAGAAAACCUGUCUCAGUCCGGAUUGAAGUCUGCAACUCGACUUCAUGAAGGCGGAAUCGCUAGUAACCGCGAAUCAGCAGGUCGCGGUGAAUACGUUCCCGGGCCUU